GUGAGGAAUUUUCCGCAAUGGGCGAAAGUCUGACGGAGCAAUGCCGCGUGAAGGAUGAAGGCCUAUGGGUUGUAAACUUCUUUUCUCAGAAAAGAAUUAUGACGGUAUCUGAGGAAUAAGCAUCGGCUAACUCUGUGCCAGCAGCCGCGGUAAGACAGAGGAUGCAAGCGUUAUCCGGAAUGAUUGGGCGUAAAGCGUCUGUAGGUUGUUUAAAAAGUAUUCUGUCAAAGAUUAGGGCUUAACCCUAGAUAGGCAGAAUAAACUUUUAAGCUAGAGUUUGGUAGAGGCAGAGGGAAUUCCCGGUGGAGCGGUGAAAUGCGUAGAUAUCGGGAGGAACACCAAAGGCGAAGGCACUCUGCUGGGCCAAUACUAACACUGAGAGACGAAAGCGAGGGGAGCAAAUGGGAUUAGAUACCCGGGUAGUCC
RNAcentral lists this ribosomal RNA (426 nucleotides) under uncultured bacterium. RNAcentral's name for it is "partial 16S ribosomal RNA". It matches the Rfam family "Bacterial small subunit ribosomal RNA", at positions 354 to 796 of the family's 1533-position model. The record is from RNAcentral.